RNAcentral lists this ribosomal RNA (492 nucleotides) under uncultured bacterium. RNAcentral's name for it is "partial 16S ribosomal RNA". It matches the Rfam family "Bacterial small subunit ribosomal RNA", at positions 29 to 507 of the family's 1533-position model. The record is from RNAcentral.
AGUGAACGCUGGCGGUAGGCCUAACACAUGCAAGUCGAACGGCAGCACAGUAAGAGCUUGCUCUUACGGGUGGCGAGUGGCGGACGGGUGAGGAAUACAUCGGAAUCUACUUUUUCGUGGGGGAUAACGUAGGGAAACUUACGCUAAUACCGCAUAUGACCUACGGGUGAAAGCAGGGGAUCUUCGCACCUUGCGCGAUUGAAUGAGCCGAUGUCGGAUUAGCUAGUUGGCGUGGUAAAGGCCCACCAAGGCGACGAUCCGUAGCUGGUCUGAGAGGAUGAUCAGCCACACUGGAACUGAGACACGGUCCAGACUCCUACGGGAGGCAGCAGUGGGGAAUAUUGGGCAAUGGGCGCAAGCCUGAUCCAGCCAUACCGCGUGGGUGAAGAAGGCCUUCGGGUUGUAAAGCCCUUUUGUUGGGAAAGAAAAGCAGCAGGUUAAUACCCCGCUGUUCUGACGGUACCCAAAGAAUAAGCACCGGCUAACUUCGUG